CAGCCGCGUAAUUCCAGCUCCAAUAGCGUAUAUUAAAGUUGCUGCAGUUAAAAAGCUCGUAGUUGAAUUUCGGGACUAAUAUGUCGGUCGUGCCUCGGUACGUACUGGUUUAUUGGUUUCUCCUUUCUGAAGAACCAUGAUGUCAUUUAUUUGGUGUCGUGGGGAAUCAGGACUGUUACUUUGAAAAAAUUAGAGUGUUUAAAGCAGGCUCACGCUUGAAUACAUUAGCAUGGAAUAAUGAAAUAGGACGUUUGAUUCUAUUUUGUUGGUUUCUAGGAUCGACGUAAUGAUUAAUAGGGAUAGUUGGGGGCAUUAGUAUUCAAUUGUCAGAGGUGAAAUUCUUGGAUUUAUUGAAGACUAACUACUGCGAAAGCAUUUGCCAAGGAUGUUUUCAUUAAUCAAGAACGAAAGUUAGGGGAUCGAAGACGAUCAGAUACCGUCGUAGUCUUAACCAUAAACUAUGCCGACUAGGGAUCGGAUGAUGUUAAUUUUUUAAUGACUCAUUCGGCGCCUUACG
RNAcentral lists this unclassified non-coding RNA (517 nucleotides) under uncultured Glomeromycotina. RNAcentral describes it as "SSU rRNA". It matches the Rfam family "Eukaryotic small subunit ribosomal RNA", at positions 571 to 1092 of the family's 1831-position model. The record is from RNAcentral. Lineage: Eukaryota; Fungi; Glomeromycota.